GAGCGCCCAUCGCGGGCGCUCUCUACGCGGAGCGGAGCGGGAACGGGCCAGGAGGAGACGGAGGGAGAGGGGCGUCUGUCGCCCUGCCGGCCGGCUGCGAGCAGGAACUGGAGCCUGAUCCAUUGCUUCGCUGGAGGCACCCGGGCGGGCGCCCUCCCUUUCGGAGCGGCCAGGGCUGCGCCCGCGUCCUGUGCGGUUGAAGAUAUCAGAUGGGCCCAGGCGCAGCCCGUGGAUGGAAGUGACUGAGGGGACCUCACCUUGUUAAGAGACACGCAGAGGGCGAAGGAAGACCGGGACCGUCCGCGGAAUGGGAUGCGUCCCUGACCCCAGUCGUCUUCACAGCUUGUCCCGCGUGCCCAGGGCCGAGUGAGGAGGCACCAGAGGGGACCGUGGCUAUCCAUUUCCCCUCCUCACCUCUGGAUAUGUUUCAUGCUAAACCUGGAUGCUUCUUUGAUAUCGUGAAGUUGCGUGGGAAAUAAUCUGGGUUUCCGGUGUGACAGCAAGAAUAGCUACUCACCCAGGGGAAGGGAAAUGCAUCCUGGUUUGGAGACAAAACCUCCCUUUCCUAUAAUCGUUAGAAAGAAGAGGAGCCAAGUCCCGAGGCAUGAAGAUAGAUGUGUGUAAUGGAGUAAAACCUCAGACAGCUCCUGUCAUCUGCCGUUUGCCCUUCCAGACUGGAUUGUGAUCCAAGCGAGUUUUAAGAUUGUUUAAAGGGAGAAAAAUCCUCCUUUCGAUAUUUUUUUUUUUCCUGCCUCCUCCUUUGGCUUCCUCAGGUAUGAGUGCCUCUCUGCAGCACCUUUUGCUGGCGCUCUUGCUCUCCAGUGCUACCCUGCUGCUCAGCACUGCGGCUGCUACCCAAAGUGAGGAGCGGUUGUGUGCAUUUAAGGACCCAUAUCAACAGGACCAUGGAAUCAGUGAGAAUCGAAUCUCUCAGGAGAAUGGCACAAUUUUAUGUGUGAAAGGCACCUCCUGCUAUGGACUUUGGGAAAAAACACGAGAAGGAGACAUACAUCUUGUAAAACAAGGAUGCUGGUCUCACAUAGGAGACCUACAGGAGUGUCAGUAUGAGGAGUGUAUAGUAACAACCACCCCUUCCUUGAUUCAGAAUGGAACGUAUCGCUUCUGCUGCUGCAGCACUGACUUGUGUAAUGUCAACUUCACUGAAAACUUUCCUCCUCCUGACCCAACGGAUACACCACUUUUCAAGAGAAGAUAUAAAGCCAUGCAGAGAAAAAAGGUGAAAAGGACUUAGAGUGCACCAGUGCAUGUUGUGAAGAUUAUAUUGAAGACUAAGAUUUCCUAAUGGAAAAAACUCGAAGAUAAACCCACUUUCUGCCCAAACCCUGUCUCUUACUAACCUGAUGCUUGCAAGAGAGAAAAGUGUAUGGGCAGUGUGGAUGGGGUUUGAUACUUACCAGUCAGCAUCAAGAAUUCAGAUCACUUGAUUUUGCUUGCAGCCAUUUACAGCCUCCACUUACCCUAGAGCUGAAGUGCCUCAGUCUUGCACAUUUUACAAGGAUCAGUCAAAAUGGUACUGAUACUGUCAAAAAAGCUGAUACUGAAUAUGCUUAAUUCAAUUAACAGUGAUAAACCUUUAUUGUGUGUUUGAAAUCAUAGCAGUUGCAUUGAUGUACUGGCUCAUUGUGUUGUUAUGAUGUCUGUCAAAGUGUCUUGUACAUUUAUUUAGGUACCGUUACACUGUCAGUAGGUGAACGUUUUUGUCUUAUAAUGUAGCCAUUGAAAUAAGAAUGGAAACAUCUAUCCCAUUGAUUUUAAAUAUUUAUUAAAUUAAAUAGAGAGAGUUACUUUUAAGGUGCUCUGAAAUAGUUAACUGGUUGUCCUUCAGGAGCAUCAUAAUGAUACUUUGUUGUUUGGCACAAAGGAUUUCUAUCCUUUAACAGGUCUACUUUUUGCUAUGUGUUUCACUGAAUUUCAUGGUACAUGCAGAAUUUGAGUAAAUCAGCAUGCAGUAUGUUUGUCAGAAAUAAAUCUUCAUUUUAUGCUAGCAUUUUUAAAAAAUGGUUGUUUUACCCAUUUCUAAUCAGAUUACUACAGGCUUUUCCAGCAAGUGUUUAUGUAAAGAAUCGUUGCCUUGUGAAGUUAUUGCUUGCUGUGAUAAACUUAUCUAGUUUUACUAUGUGUUUUUGAAAUGGUCAAAGAAGGAGUAUAUCAAGGCGCAAGAUAAGCAAACAGAACAUUUUGGGAUUGAUUCAGUAGUGUUUGUAUUUUAAUAGAUUGCAGAUAGUAUACCCAGAACAGAAAUGUUAAAGGCACAUAUAUUUACAAUAGCUAGGUAUUUCGGUGUGCAAAAGGUUUGACUGAACCCAUAAAAGUACUCAGAAAUCAGCUUUGAAUUGAAUUCACCCUAAAUUUUGAAUUCCUUAGAAUUUUGGACUUUUGUCUGCAAACUUCCUGAAGAGCUCUGCAUAGGCUCAAUAGCUUGUGUCUCUUACCUACAGAAGCUGGUCCAAUAAAAGAUGCUACCUCACC
Molecule: non-coding RNA, 2490 nt
Organism: Chelonoidis abingdonii (Abingdon island giant tortoise)
Lineage: Eukaryota; Metazoa; Chordata; Testudines; Testudinidae
Source: RefSeq, a predicted model, not a curated record